GGUCACAUAGCUCAGCGGUAGAGCAACCGGCUGUUAACCGGUUGGUCGUAGGUUCAAUCCCUACUGUGACCGCCA
This 75-nucleotide transfer RNA is filed under the name Bacilli bacterium. RNAcentral describes it as "tRNA-Asn". It matches the Rfam family "tRNA". Rfam says of the family: Transfer RNA (tRNA) molecules are approximately 80 nucleotides in length. Their secondary structure includes four short double-helical elements and three loops (D, anti-codon, and T loops). The record is from RNAcentral. RNAcentral also lists the same sequence under 1 other name. Lineage: Bacteria; Bacillati; Bacillota; Bacilli.